CUUAUGGUGUUUGUUGGUUUUGGAAGUCAUUUUGACAUGGUGGUGCAGCUCCUCAUUGUCUGCCUCUGGGAAUAUAGUUCUUUGAAAUCUAGUUGGAAUUAUUUCUUAUGGAGAAACAUCUAUUUUGGAUUAUCAUUUGAUUCUCUCCUGAUAUUAGUAUUUUUGAAUGACUUUUGGAUCAUGAUUCCAAAUGAACUCCUGGGAUUGGUUACCCACCAUUUCAGAACUCUGCUACAACUGUAAGGUUUGUCCCUUUAGUUAUGGUAAAGUACUCCAACAAGGGUUUGCAGAAAAAAAUACAGUCAUGAAAAUAAGCUAGACAGAGCCAGAUACCAUAUCGAUUGAAAAGGGUCAACUGAAACUGGAAGGAACUAAGGAAAGUUGAAUCUAAAUUGCAGCACUGUGAGAGAAGGAAUCAUGUUUGGAAGAAUCCUACAAGUUGUUGGAAGGAAUCAUUACCAUGGGAAUACUCAGGCAGAAUCUCAGAAAAUAGCCAUGAAGAAACUAGGAGAAAGUGAGUGAACAGAAGAUUAAAGGAGCAUCAGACAGUGAGCAGCACGUUGGUAGAAAUUCAGAUACCAUCUUCCCCUCAACAAAAUUAUACUUGGGACUCUGGAAGAAUGUAUUGUGAUGAAUAUUGUAAGAAAAAUACCCUAACUGCCAGAAUCAUAUAAAUCAGACCUUGUUGCUAUAGAUGUAAUAUGGUUUAUAGGAGACAUGAACUAGGAAGAAAUUAGAUGCCCAAGUUCCAAAACCCUGAAAGGAGGGCUGAAUGGACUCCCUGGACCAUCUACCUUUGGAACUUACCAUACUGUGCACACUGAAUCAAUAUUCUAAAAUUCAUCUUUGGCAAGAAUUGCAUGCCCUGAAUACAAGCCAUUCCCCAGUUGAUCAAUAGUCAAAGGAUAUGAACAGGCUGUUUUCAGAUGAAGAAAUCAAAGAUAUCUAUAGGCAUAGAAAGAAGUGCUCUAAAUCUUUUGAUUUGAGAUAUGCAAAGUAAAGUAACUCUGAAAUACCACCUCAGACCAAACAGAGUGUCUAAUAUGACAAAAAAGGUGAAUGAUAAAUGAUAAAGAAACAACAGAUAAAUCCUAAAUAAUGAGGAGCAGGAAGGUGACCCAGAUGGUCCCAG
Vombatus ursinus (common wombat) is the source of this 1132-nucleotide long non-coding RNA. RefSeq lists it as uncharacterized. The record is from RefSeq and is a predicted model, not a curated record. NCBI's taxonomy places the organism in Eukaryota, Metazoa, Chordata, Mammalia, Diprotodontia, Vombatidae. The transcript is spliced from 3 exons.